Molecule: transfer RNA, 82 nt
Filed under: Xenopus laevis (African clawed frog)
Lineage: Eukaryota; Metazoa; Chordata; Amphibia; Anura; Pipidae
Rfam family: tRNA
About the family: Transfer RNA (tRNA) molecules are approximately 80 nucleotides in length. Their secondary structure includes four short double-helical elements and three loops (D, anti-codon, and T loops).
Source: Rfam by way of RNAcentral
GGUAGCAUUGCCGAACGAUCGAAGGCACUGACUUAAAGCUCCAGUCUCUUUGGAGGUGUGCGUUUGAAUCCCACUGCUACCA